This 370-nucleotide ribosomal RNA is filed under the name uncultured organism. RNAcentral's name for it is "bacterial SSU rRNA". It matches the Rfam family "Bacterial small subunit ribosomal RNA", at positions 526 to 896 of the family's 1533-position model. The record is from RNAcentral.
CGAGGGGAGCUAGCGUUGUUCGGAAUUACUGGGCGUAAAGGGCGCGUAGGCGGUCCUAUAAGUCAGAUGUGAAAGCCCCGGGCUUAACCUGGGAGGUGCAUUUGAAACUGUAGAACUGGAGAUCGAGAGAGGAAAGUGGAAUUACGAGUGUAGAGGUGAAAUUCGUAGAUAUUCGUAAGAACACCAGUGGCGAAGGCGACUUUCUGGCUCGAUACUGACGCUAAGGCGCGAAAGCGUGGGGAGCAAACAGGAUUAGAUACCCUGGUAGUCCACGCUGUAAACGAUGAGUGCUAGAUGUUGGUGAAGGAAUUCAUCAGUGUCGCAGCUAACGCAUUAAGCACUCCGCCUGGGGAGUACGGUCGCAAGAUUA